CACGGGGGGGGCAAGCGUUGUUCGGAAUCACUGGGCGUAAAGGGCGUGUAGGCGGUCAGGUAAGUGGGAUGUGAAAUGCCCCGGCUCACCCGGGGACCGGCAUCCCAUACUGCUUGGCUUGAGUACGGGAGAGGAUGUGGGAAUUCCUGGUGUAGCGGUGAAAUGCGUAGAUAUCAGGAGGAACACCGGUGGCGAAGGCGCACAUCUGGCCCGAUACUGACGCUGAGGCGCGAAAGCUAGGGGAGCAAACGGG
RNAcentral lists this ribosomal RNA (253 nucleotides) under uncultured bacterium. RNAcentral's name for it is "partial 16S ribosomal RNA". It matches the Rfam family "Bacterial small subunit ribosomal RNA", at positions 524 to 776 of the family's 1533-position model. The record is from RNAcentral.